RNAcentral lists this small RNA (197 nucleotides) under Paenibacillus sp. RNAcentral's name for it is "c-di-AMP sequence". It matches the Rfam family "c-di-AMP riboswitch aptamer (ydaO/yuaA leader)". From Rfam's summary of the family: This family represents a conserved RNA structure found upstream of the ydaO and yuaA genes in Bacillus subtilis and related genes in other bacteria. The ydaO/yuaA element is thought to act as a genetic "off" switch for the ydaO and yuaA genes in its native state. The record is from RNAcentral. RNAcentral also lists the same sequence under 1 other name. Lineage: Bacteria; Bacillati; Bacillota; Bacilli; Caryophanales; Paenibacillaceae.
GAACCAGUAACGCUGAAUCUUCUAGUUCAUAGAAGAGCGGGGGAACCAACAGCUAAUCUGCGAGUGCCGCGCAGACAGCGGAGUGUAUCCUUGGGGUGAAUUACGAACGAUCGAGCCAUGAGCCGGUCCGUUCGGAUAGGGCGACUCUCAGUCCCGAAUCCGACAGCUAACCUCGCAAGCGUAUGGAGAGAGGUCCU